This 274-nucleotide ribosomal RNA is filed under the name uncultured bacterium. RNAcentral's name for it is "partial 16S ribosomal RNA". It matches the Rfam family "Bacterial small subunit ribosomal RNA", at positions 523 to 796 of the family's 1533-position model. The record is from RNAcentral.
AUACGGAGGGUGCAAGCGUUAUCCGGUAUCAUUGGGUUUAAAGGGUCCGUAGGCGGACUAUUAAGUCAGAGGUGAAAUCCCACAGCUCAACUGUGGAACUGCCUUUGAUACUGGUAGUCUUGAGUUAUAUGGAAGUAGAUAGAAUGUGUAGUGUAGCGGUGAAAUGCAUAGAUAUUACACAGAAUACCGAUUGCGAAGGCAGUCUACUACGUAUAUACUGACGCUAAGGGACGAAAGCGUGGGGAGCGAACAGGAUUAGAAACCCCUGUAGUCC